This 1100-nucleotide long non-coding RNA is filed under the name Sus scrofa (pig). Its description in RNAcentral is "lncRNA (ENSSSCG00040073083.1)". Lineage: Eukaryota; Metazoa; Chordata; Mammalia; Artiodactyla; Suidae. The record is from RNAcentral.
AGAUCGACAGGUACGCCCAGCGGGACCUGAAGAAGGGCCUGCACCUGUACGGCACCCCGGGCAAUGUGGGCCUCACCAACGCCUGGAGCAUCAUCCAGACUGACUUCCGCUGCUGCGGGGUCUCCAACUACACCGACUGGUUCGAGGUCUACAACGCCACACGCGUGCCCGACUCCUGCUGCCUGGAGUUCAGCGAGAGCUGUGGGCUGCACGCGCCUGGCACCUGGUGGAAAGCGCCGUGCUAUGAGACGGUGAAGAUGUGGCUCCAGGAAAACCUGCUGGCCGUGGGCGUCUUUGGGCUGUGCACAGCCCUGGUGCAGAUCCUGGGCCUGACCUUCGCCAUGACCAUGUACUGCCAGGUGGUGAAGGCCGACGCCUACUGCACGUAGGCUGCUUACCGCCCGCCACCCCGCUUCGCUGCCAAAGGACGUCGCCCACUGGGGGGAUGACACCUGCCCCCCACUGCAGGACCUCUCGCCAGCCCGGGCGCGGGGCAGGGAGCAGCGGGCCUGUGAGUGCCACGCCCGCGCCUGGGCUGGGGGCCGGAGGGGCCUGGGAGCUUGACGCCCCAGCAUCCUCCCGGCGGUGCUUCCCCCAGGGCAGCGGGCAGGGUGGGAGGCGCGGGGCGACCGCUGGUCCUGGUCCUGGUGCUCAAGGCGGGGCUGCAGCCCCGUCACCCACAUUCCACAGCCGCACCCCGCGGUGGGCCAGGCCUCCGGGGCGCCUUGAUAAAGCGCGUGGGCAGCAGCCCCCCCGCCCCCCCGUGUCUCUCACUGCCCUGCCCCCGGCGGGCCACACUCGGGCGGCCCUGUGCGGUCGAGGAUUCUCCACCCACUGACCUGCACAGACCCCGCCGCCGCCGCCGCCGAGCCCCCCUGCCCACCGUUGGGGGCUCCUGCGCCCCCAGCAGACGGCAGAUGAGCCCUGAGCCUCGCUGACCCACCCACCCCUGCGGGUGCUACGGACGCCCCCCAGUCCUGACGUGGGGAGGCCCCACAGAAUGGAGUUGAGCUCCCCUUUUUCUGUUCUCUUUCUAGUCCUGGGAUCUCUGCCCCCUUGUCACUCUUGAUUUUGCAAAUAAAGCCGGCUGGCAGGGGUGA